GCGAUGCGAGCAAGCCGUGAGUGAUGAGGGCCGCGUCUUUUGCAGAAUUUUGCAUGCGGCCGCACAGGAGCGGCUCGCAGUUUCAAUUAGUCGCUACAAACCCCGAAUGCGCUCCUGUAGCCCAGCUUUGUUUACAGUUGCUUUUCGAUGCCGCUAAAUACAGUUGCUCCCACGUUGCUUUGUCCAAAACAACAAAAGCAACUACAAUAAGCUAAUGUCAACGAAAAGUUCAAAAGCUGGGCACACUUCAAACAAACGGCACUUUUUUUAUUGAUGUCUAGCAUUGUUGUUGUUGUGAGAGAAUGUCAAUGAAAACGUUAGACGGCAGAAUAGAAGGAAUUGAAGCGUCGAAGUCAUUAAAAACUAUCAAAUAAAUUUGAAAACAAAAUAAACUUUAACUAGCAAAUUGGACGUGGCAAAAUGUGAAGAAACUAAUUAGCCAUAACGAACCAAUGGAAGAAAAAUGGGAACAAGAACGCGCGUGAAAGAGGAAGAACAGGUGCGGCGCUGCCCUCGUUGGGUGCUUUGACAUUUGCAGUGGCCAAAGGUGAGCGACGAAAAGAGAGUGAGAGAGAGAGAGAGAGAGAGAGAGAGAGAGAAGCUGAGUUGGGGCAAGCGAGGUGAUGAUGCAGAGAUAAGAAAUGUGGAAAUUUACUUAUAUUUUAUUUUUGUAACUUACCUGAAUCUCGAGCAAAAGCUCCUGCUUUUUUCUACGCAGCUCAAUCAGCAGCUUUUGCUGCUCCGGUGUCAAUUCUGCAAGAAUAAAACAUAAUUCUUAAGCGUG
Drosophila virilis is the source of this 784-nucleotide non-coding RNA. Lineage: Eukaryota; Metazoa; Arthropoda; Insecta; Diptera; Drosophilidae. The record is from RefSeq and is a predicted model, not a curated record.